RNAcentral lists this unclassified non-coding RNA (317 nucleotides) under uncultured fungus. RNAcentral describes it as "partial contains 5.8S ribosomal RNA, internal transcribed spacer 2, and large subunit ribosomal RNA". The stretch from base 1 to 52 matches the Rfam family "5.8S ribosomal RNA", at positions 103 to 154 of the family's 154-position model. Lineage: Eukaryota; Fungi. The record is from RNAcentral.
AACGCAUCUUGCGCUCUUUGGUAUUCCGAAGAGCAUGCCUGUCUGAGUGUCAUGAAACUCUCAACCCCACAGGUUUUGUAAUGAGACCUUGUGCGGGCUUGGAUCCUGAGCGUUGCAGGUGUUUAACCGGCUCGUUCGAAAUACAUUAGCGAUCACGCACUUGGCGUUGGUUUGACUUGAAGUGAUAGUAAGCAUUUCCUUCAAGGACACUUCCCCUCAAAAGGACAGUGACCAACCUUUGGGCCGGAACGCUCACAAAACCCCAUUAUUCAUCAUGAUUAGACCUCAAAUCAGGUAGGACUACCCGCUGAACUUAA